GCAAGUCGAACGGUAACAGGCGGAGCUUGCCCUGCGCUGACGAGUGGCGGACGGGUGAGUAAUGCGUAGGAAUCUGCCCAGUAGCGGGGGACAACGUGUGGAAACGCACGCUAAUACCGCAUACGCCCUACGGGGGAAAGCAGGGGAUCUUCGGACCUUGCGCUAUUGGAUGAGCCUAAGUCGGAUUAGCUAGUUGGUGGGGUAAUGGCCUACCAAGGCGACGAUCUGUAGCUGGUCUGAGAGGACGAUC
RNAcentral lists this ribosomal RNA (250 nucleotides) under uncultured bacterium. RNAcentral's name for it is "partial 16S ribosomal RNA". It matches the Rfam family "Bacterial small subunit ribosomal RNA", at positions 57 to 305 of the family's 1533-position model. The record is from RNAcentral.